GAGUUUGAUCAUGGCUCAGAGCGAACGCUGGCGGCAGGCCUAACACAUGCAAGUCGAGCGCCCGUAGCAAUACGGGAGCGGCAGACGGGAGAGUAACACGUGGGAACGCGCCCUUCGGUUCGGAAUAACUCAGGGAAACUUGAGCUAAUACCGGAUACGCCCUAACGGGGAAAGAUUUAUCGCCGAAGGAACGGCCCGCGUCGGAUUAGCUAGUUGGUGAGGUAAUGGCUCACCAAGGCAACGAUCCGUAGCUGGUCUAAGAGGAUGAUCAGCCUCACUGGGACUGAGACACGGCCCAGACUCCUACGGGAGGCAGCAGUGGGGAAUAUUGGACAAUGGGCGCAAGCCUGAUCCAGCCAUGCCGCGUGGGUGAUGAAGGCCCUAGGGUUGUAAAGCCCUUUCGGCGGGGAAGAUAAUGACGGUACCCGCAGAAGAAGCCCGGCUAACUUCGUGCCAGCAGCCGCCGU
This 467-nucleotide ribosomal RNA is filed under the name uncultured Alphaproteobacteria bacterium. RNAcentral's name for it is "bacterial SSU rRNA". It matches the Rfam family "Bacterial small subunit ribosomal RNA", at positions 9 to 521 of the family's 1533-position model. Lineage: Bacteria; Pseudomonadati; Pseudomonadota; Alphaproteobacteria. The record is from RNAcentral.